Long non-coding RNA from Panicum virgatum (switchgrass), 398 nucleotides. RefSeq lists it as uncharacterized. NCBI's taxonomy places the organism in Eukaryota, Viridiplantae, Streptophyta, Magnoliopsida, Poales, Poaceae. The record is from RefSeq and is a predicted model, not a curated record. The transcript is spliced from 3 exons.
UCGGUCAAAGGCAGUUGUAUCCUGUGUCGUCAGCAUUGGAUCGGGUCGAACGCCAUGACCACAGUUUAUCGAGGACUGGGCAACCCUUCUCCAACAUGUGGGUGACAAGGGUGCAGCCUUGGGUCGAUGGCUGGGACCAGGCAGAGGAGAACGUGGCGCUUGCGACCCCUGCACACACGGAGGCUUCGUACAGGGCGUACCUGAGCUAGUACUAGCCUCAGACUCGUUGCCGCUUGAUAUAUGCUGACAUGCAACCACAGCCGCAUGUUGCGACAGCACAGGAUGGCUACGCACGACAUAGGGAUGAGGCAUUAGCUGGGGCGUUUGAAAUGUGCAGGUUGAUGGACGUAGAUGCCAGGGCGAAUUUGAUGAGGAUUCGAGCGGGAUCUAUGAUGGAU